Molecule: ribosomal RNA, 427 nt
Filed under: uncultured bacterium
Lineage: Bacteria
Description: partial 16S ribosomal RNA
Rfam family: Bacterial small subunit ribosomal RNA
Source: RNAcentral
UGGGGAAUAUUGCACAAUGGGCGCAAGCCUGAUGCAGCCAUGCCGCGUGUAUGAAGAAGGCCUUCGGGUUGUAAAGUACUUUCAGCGAGGAGGAAGGCGUUGUGGUUAAUAACCGCAACGAUUGACGUUACUCGCAGAAGAAGCACCGGCUAACUCCGUGCCAGCAGCCGCGGUAAUACGGAGGGUGCAAGCGUUAAUCGGAAUUACUGGGCGUAAAGCGCGCGCAGGCGGUCUGUCAAGUCGGAUGUGAAAUCCCCGGGCUCAACCUGGGAACUGCAUCCGAAACUGGCAGGCUAGAGUCUUGUAGAGGGGGGUAGAAUUCCAGGUGUAGCGGUGAAAUGCGUAGAGAUCUGGAGGAAUACCGGUGGCGAAGGCGGCCCCCUGGACAAAGACUGACGCUCAGGUGCGAAAGCGUGGGGAGCAAACA